Molecule: non-coding RNA, 1538 nt
Organism: Cricetulus griseus (Chinese hamster)
Lineage: Eukaryota; Metazoa; Chordata; Mammalia; Rodentia; Cricetidae
Source: RefSeq, a predicted model, not a curated record
ACUUCCUUUCUCUUUUCUCUGAGGAGGCAGCUUUCUGUCUCUCUGUCUCUGUCUAACUCUCUCUUUUCCCUUCCCUUAGUCCCUUGCCUUUCCCAAUAAACUUUCCACAUAAGUCACGUCUGGAGGUCUCUGUCUGAAUCUCUCACUUGCCGUGGGAACCAACACAGUCCCCCCUUCAUGCCACAUUGUUCUACUCUCCACAUAACCUCUAAUGUGCUUCCUCCACAGAGACCCUGAUGGUGUGAGCACUCACUGCCCCAUCCAAGGAGAUGUGCUAAGCAAUCACAGUCGAUAGGCACCCACCAUGGCAUUGCUGUCCUGUCAGGGGACGUCCUUGUGAAGCAAGUGUGUUGCCCAUAGUAGGGGGCCAGCUUGUCUUGAUGCAUUCUGUAGCGAUGCAUAGACGAGUUUCUUCCUGAAACCGAAGGCCUGCUGAGCCUGCCCCGCUGUGGGAAUUCCUUCCACAAAGUCCCAGCUGCAGACUGGUCCACAUCGAAAAUCUAGACCUGAACAGCUGCUCACACUGGGAGUCUACUGAGAGGCCACUGUUGCCGAAAAUAGCCUGUCAGUCCUGUGUUCACACCCGGAGGUGGCCUCUCUCCUCCCCUGGCCUGGCUGAGAGCUCACUGUGUUACUGGGAGUCACCAACGAAGGUUACCAGGCUGGUGCCCCAAUCUGACUCCUUCCACAGCUUCGAGAAAAUACCAUAAUUACAUUUUAUGUUUAACCAGAGAUUUCUUGUCAUCUGAAUGUCUUGCAAAAUAAGACCAGAUAUUGCUCCUCUAAAUGCUAAGGGGACAUCUCCGCCGGAAACCCUCAAGUUCUCAGUAAUCUAUGCGUUCUCUAGAUUUUCUUGAAACACAAUGAAACCCGAAGAACAACUGCCUGCACACACAUGGCCUCUGGUCUCCACUGUCCCUAAGGCUUCAUGGUCAUGGUCACCAUCAUGCCUCAUUUGGCACCAGAGAAAAACAGCUAUGAUUAAUGUACCGGCUAGUUUUAUGUCAGCCUAACUAACACAAGCUAGAGUGGUUUUUGGAAGAAGGAAACUGAAGUGAUAAAAUGCUUAUUCCAGAUGGGCUGGUGGGAAUUCACUUGAUUGAUGAUUGCUGUGGCAGGGUCCAGCCCACUGUGGGCAGUGUCUUAAAAAUCAGGCUGAACAAGCUGCGAGGAGCAAUCUAGUAUACUGCAACCCCCCCCCCCAACCAUGGCCUGUGCAUCAGCUCACGCCUUUGGGUUCCUCCACUGCUUGAGUUCCUUUUUUGACUUUGGAAUUGGAGACCUUUUUAAAAAUGUGAAAUAGUCAUCAACAGGAUCCUCUAAGUGCUAAGGGGACACCUGUGCUGAAGACCCCCCCUCUCUCAAGCUCAGGUCCUCCGUAAACUACUCAUUCUCUUCAUUUUCUUGAAAAACAAUGAACCCAAAGAGCAGCUGCCUGCACAUAUGUGGUCUUUAAUCUCCAUUGUUUCUGCCCUGGUUUCCCUCAGUGGUGAACUGUUACCUGGAUGUGUAAACAGAAUAAACACUUUCCUCCCCAA